GGGAUGGCGAUGGUCGUUGAUGUAGAUGCCAAAGGAGAGUUAGGGUUUCCGUACUGGACUCCAGUUCGUCGACGUUUUAGCCCCGAUUCUCCCUUCUUUUCUUGNNNNNNNNNNUUGAGAGGGAGCUUCUCGCCAAACAGGUUGCAUUGGAUUUAACAGAAGAUGAAAAGAAUCAGUUACAGAAUUUGGUGGAUGAGGAUGGCAGGGAUAUUUUUUGUCCCAUUGUUGGAUGUGGUGCACGCUUGACAUUUUUGGAAGACUUUGAAGACCAUUACAAUGCACGGCACGCUGCAUCCUGUUCGGUGUGCUCUAGAGUUUACCC
Molecule: unclassified non-coding RNA, 322 nt
Filed under: Hevea brasiliensis (rubber tree)
Lineage: Eukaryota; Viridiplantae; Streptophyta; Magnoliopsida; Malpighiales; Euphorbiaceae
Source: RNAcentral